Molecule: non-coding RNA, 48 nt
Filed under: Schistosoma mansoni
Lineage: Eukaryota; Metazoa; Platyhelminthes; Trematoda; Strigeidida; Schistosomatidae
Source: RNAcentral
AUCCAGCUGACGAGUCCCAAAUAAGACGAAGCGGUGUGCGUCGUGGAU